Molecule: long non-coding RNA, 8324 nt
Filed under: Phoenix dactylifera (date palm)
Lineage: Eukaryota; Viridiplantae; Streptophyta; Magnoliopsida; Arecales; Arecaceae
Description: long non-coding RNA (PDAC_LNC009265)
Source: RNAcentral
CUCCUUCUCUCUCUCUCUUAGUUUUCAAUUCUCUUUAUUGAACGCCCCUCUCCUUCGCUAUGGAGAAGCUUCUGGCUAUGUCUAUCCUGAGCUCAGGGCCGAAUUUCUCCGGCGACGGGAAGUCCGACGGAUGGUUCAACCACGGUUGGAUGGGAGGGAAGAAGAACAAACAGGAGGAGAGCAAAGGCGGGAGCGACAAAUCCCGCACGCCGCCGGUGCUGGCAAAGAAGCUGGGGCAGCAGCAGAAGAGCAAGUCGGCGGCUCGGUUCGCGGUGGAGUUGGACGGGCUUCACUGCUUUGAGACGAUUGUUCCUCGAUGAUCAUUCUUUUUCUUGAUUCUUUCUUGUUUUCCUCGAUGUCUUUGAGAUUGUUUUAAUUGAUCGAAUUACACAGUAAUUAAUGCUAGCAACCUGUGAAUACCUUGCUUGUGAUGACAAAAAUAUUUCUUUAGAAUUCAAUACUGCAAUCCUUGUUUCUUUUCUCAUAAUUUUGUUCGAUCAUAUAUUUGGUUACGAUUCAUUCAAAGACUUAGAUGGGUUCUAAAGAAAUUACUCUACCCUGAAUGACCCGCAAUUCGAAUUAUAUACAAAUUAACGUGGCUAGCGUGUUAUUUUUACCGGUCGGAGAACUUCUUUCUACUGUUUGUUUGGAAGUUCAUACAACAGGGUUGCUUUGCUUGCCUUUUCUUGAUACCUUUCCCCCGUGAUGAAGGUGCCAAUCUCCCUCAUGAAUUAGCGUUGUAGAAUCUAAAUACAGGGCUGAGAAGGAAAGUAAUUUCUUGCGAGAAAGGGAAUUGGAUUCCAUACCAUCCAGUAGGACAAAAGUAAAGAAGAAAAAGCACUAAAGAAUAAUUAAAGAAAAAAUACAAAAUAAUAAAAAAAAAAGAAGAAGAGAGGAGGCGCACAAAUCCUUCCUCUCUAUCAGUAGACAUAGAAGGAAGCCGGCUCCAUCGGGACUUCUCUUCCCGUUCAACAAAAUCCUCGGUUUCGCGGUCGAGAAGCCGCUGAACAUGUCAGCUCGCGAGGGCAGGGGAGGCUCUGUUUCGCGCCGGAGUGAAUUUGAUGGGUUCCGUUAUUUCGAGACCAUCGCCUCCCACUUAAAGUUUUCGUUCAUUUCUUUAUGCAAUUAUAGCUAGGUUCUGGAGAUUAUUUAUUGAACUAUUUUGCCUCUCCAGAAACUAUAGCAAUUUUGCUCCGAAAACGAAGAAAAGAAAGAAAAGAAAAUAGAGCAGUAACAGGACUAGCUCUGUGAGUUCUUCGUCUGGCUAUCCAUCAUCUCUACUGGUUUUUAAAGCCAAAAGCUACUAUGAAUAAUUCUAUUGCCUCGAUGAUGAAAAGAACUCUAGAAUUGAAAAAUAUUUUCAACUUUCAUAUAUAGCGUUUCUAUUAGAAUUGCUCCACGGAUCUCUCCUUGUCGACCUUGCAAGGAGUCAAGGAUUAAAGGACGUAGGAAUUGAACUGACUAUAGACAUCGCCAGUAGCUUCUCCCUAACAAAGUGGUCUUGAGGGCUCGUUUGGUUCGCGAAAAGCAUUUUCCUCCUAUAAAUAUGAUUUUUGGAAAGAAGAUUUCUAUUAAGGGAAUACCUGAAAAUGUACUUUUGGUAUGUUUGGUUAAACAUAGAAAAGUGACAGAUUUUCAGAAUGCUUAUGUUUGGUUGACCGUUCACUUUCUUGAAAAAGUUAUGUGUAAUUCCUAUUAUAUUCUUAAUAAAAAUUAGAUUUUUAAUAUCUCUUUAAUGCUGAAGGAUCUUUUUGAAGAAAAAAAUAAAAAUGGAAUGAUUUCUGCCUUAUGAAAAAGUAACUUUGUCAUGUUUCUCAUGGAAAAGACUUUUCCAUAAAAUGUGGGUACCAUAUUUCCAUUGAAAUAUAAUUUUUUCAUCUCUCUCAUUUGAAAACUCCAACCAAACAAGAGACAUCUCAUUACUUUUUUUUGACCAUAUUUUCCUCCCUUCUUUUUUCGCGAGCCAAACGAGCCCUAAGUGGUGGUGGGAUUCGGUUUCGAACAAAGGAGUAGUUUAAGCAGAGAAAAUUGAUGACUUGAUUAGCGGGCGACAUGGAUGCUUUUGGAGAGAAAGAUGGAUGAAAACGUGUUUUGGGGUUCAGAUUGAGGGCGUCUUUUCUUAAUUCCUAGCGUUGGAACUUGGAACGAGACUAAGUUCUAAUCGUUUCGUGGGGUCAAAUCAACCCUUCGACCGUCGCGUUGAUCGCAUGCUGACUUCAAACUUCUCUCUGGCGGCCACGAAUCGUGAGGGGGUCAAAAUAGCUUCAGCCUAGAGCUGAUCAAACGUUGGCCAGGUCCGAUUUGGACCGGACUCGAUGGUUGAAAUUAAUUCCCAUGUUUAUAUCCAGGUCCAACCCAGCUCGGAUGUCGGGCCUCUAUCUUUUGUUCAGGCUUGGCCCAAUCCAGAAAGAUCAAUACCACACUCGCCCAAGAGACAAUAUCGAUAUAUUUACGACAUAUAGUACAAGAUUUUUAUUAUUAUAAUAUAUAAUUAGUUAAUAUAAUUAUUAUAUAAUAUAUAUAUAUAUAUAUAUAUAUAUAAUUAUUUCGGGCCGGGUCGGGUCCAUAUUAAAUAUAUAUAAUAUAGAAUUGUAGGUUAAAGAAGUCACCAAUAGUUUGGCUUGAGAAGUUUAGUGGUGCAGUGAGAAGGGUUGAAUAUAAUCAGCUGAUCACACCAUAUUUCUGAGAAGGGAUGGAUCAAACAUUACUAUCCUCCUUGUCUAUGUUGGGGAUAUUAUUAUUACUAUAAAUUAUUCAAAUGAGGCUUACAAAUUAAAAGCACUUCUUAGAGAGUUUUGAGAUUAAAGAUCUAGCUCCUUAAAAUAUUUCUUUGGUAUAGAAGUUGCUCGGUCGAAAAUCGAAAUAUGAUUGACCUACUUGAGCAAAUAUGAAAUUUACCUUGUCAAACUGCUGAAACACCCAUUGAUCCGAACCAUAAGUUGGAUGAUCAUGGAUGGAAGCCUUCACAAGGUGUUGGUAUGUUUCAAGAGUGGUUGGGAAGUUGAUCGAUUUGUCUCUUACCGGUCCUGAUUGCCUACACAAUUAAGUUAUCUCAUGCCUUUACCUAAUAGAGGCUUACUCUUUGCUAAUCAUGGGCAUUUAAAAGUUGAAACAUAUACUAAUGCAGAUUUGGUAGGAUGUGUUAUUGAAAGGAGGCCAACAUCAGGCUAGUGUAUAUUUGUUGGGGAUAAUUUGGUGACAUGCAGAAGUAAGAAACAAUCAAUGGUGGCUAGAUCAAGUACAGAAGCUAUAGAGCUACAAUUCAUGGGGGGUGUGAACUUCUUCAGUUGAAAAUUUUGUUACAAGAUUUGAGGUUUCUAAGCUAAUGAACUUUUUUUUUUUCUCCUAAGACGGACGAUUCAUAUAGAACUAGUACGGAUAUAUCAAAAAAAAAAUUAAAAGAUAAUACAUCACAGAAAGCUCGGGCAACUUCCUCUUUCCAACCCAUAGGGUCUCUCCUGAGUGGUCAGCCAUAAAGGAGGCCACUCAAUUCACAGCCCCAUUUGCCUCUUUAAAAAUAUGCUUGGUUAGGAAUGCCACCCCAUCGCCUACUAUAGCCUGAAUGCCCUGGUUCAGGGGUUGGAACCCGCCCGCAGCACCGAACCCUACCAGAAUCCAACUGAUCAUUGUAGAUGAAUCACCCUCAAGACGUCUGCUCUGGCCUGCAACAUAAGCCGAGCAUGGCCCAACCUUGCUCUUACCGCCUUCAGCUCAGCCUUCGAAACCAAGAUAUCAAAGAUCUGGCAUCCACCGGCUGCAACCACUUUGGAGUCUGGACCUCUAAUAAUGAAGCCAGCAUCUCUAUGCCUAUCACCAUCAAGUACACAUCCGUCAAAAAUGAUCUUGAGAAAAUUCAGAGGUGGGAGGUUAUAGGUGAAGAACACAUUGUGGUGGAUCAUAUGAACUCUUUCACAUUGUAUUUCCUCGUCAAGGUCUUUGAUUCAUAUGAGCUCUUUCACAUUGUCAUGGUCGAUGUGGAAAAAGAGCAUUCUUAUGGUGUUAAAAUGCCUAUUUUGAGCAUGUUGUCCUCGAAGACUUCAUUCUCCAUUUGGACCAUUUCCAUACCAUUCUGCGAGUACAUAACGUCUUCCAUUGGCCAAACGAAAUAAGUCAGCAACCGGCCAUGCGACUUCUCGUGUCUGAACCACUUUGGCGACCCAUGCCACCCUCUUCCCGUCAAAUCGACCAAGAUUGAGGUCAAAUCUCGUGACGGACGAAGCGCCGCGCGCGCCACGUGUUUCGGGCGUCCGUCCGCGUCCUCGACCCAACGCCGGCGCCGUUUCCUUCCGUGAAGCCGCCCGCUGCUUUGCCUGCCGGUCGCUGGACCGCUCCCACCCGGGAUCGCAUUUCAAAAAGUUGCAACCCUUCUUCCAAAAUUUCUGCUGGCUUUUCGGGUGCGAAGGCCGAGUCCCGUGGUCCUUACAGCAUGAGAGGGGAUGGGAUGAGUUUCUGUGUUGCAGCAUGUCAAUGCUCUUGGAUGAGUUCAAACUCGCCAUUGUCAUAGCCCUGCUUUAGUUGGUCAAGCCAUGGUGACCCAGCAUGUGGAUCAUUUCAAUUCAAAACGUUUGACAUGGAAUCUGCGUGAUUGAAUGGGUAAGACAUCUCCACGUGUAUGUGACGUGUUGGAGGCAAUUCAGCAAAGAAUGGCUGAGGUGAAUAGACAUGAAGGGUGAAUAGAAAUUUGGCAGCCCGGAUUGUGCUUAGGUCUAGCGGUUUGGUCUGCACCCGAAACUGGCACUACUACUUUGGAAGGUGGUCUAGAAUAGACUCCUCACGAGAUCUGUCUUGAAGAGACAGGGGAGGAGGGGUCUAGAAUAGACUUCUAACGAGAUCUGUUCUGAGCAGACAUGGGGGAGGGGGGAGAGAGCAUACCCCCACACUGUGCAUGGUGUGGGGACGAUGAGACCGUCGACCAUGUGCUCUUCCGGUGUGGCUGGGCGACGAAAAUCUGGCAGCUCUCCGGAUUUCCAUAGGGGGCUUGGGGCCAGAGGGACCAGUUUGUGCAGACUAUCCGGUGAUGGCCUGGCAGCCCCUAGCUGCGUCAUAUGGCUUUUGGAGAAACCUGCAUUGCCCAUCAGAUCUGGUUAGCGAAAAAUGCUUGGAUCUUCGAUGAAUGUAGCAUGUCUUCGCAAUUCGCGAUGGGGCGGGGCUGAGCACAGGCAGUGGAGCUUUUUCGGGAUACCCCCGUAGGUGGGUCUUUGAUAGCUCGAGAUAUCUGGGACUCUUCUUAUGCUCAGGUAGCGCCACGGAUGGUGUUCUUCAUCUGGGAGCCUCCAUCUCCGAGUUUCCUCAAAGUCAACUUCGAUGGGUCAAUACUAGAUGGAGGGCACAGAGGGGGCGCAAGUUUCGUUAUCAAAGACUCACGCUCGAGGGUGGUGGCGGCUGAUGGCUGUCAGUUUUCGGACACUACUGUUCUCGGACCUGAGCUGUGAGCGGCUUGGGCUGUCACUUUUCGGACACUACUGUUCUCGGAGCUGAGCUGUGAGCGACGGGUGCUGCAGGUCGACUCUAUCAUCAUGGAGGGUGACUCGGUCACGGUGAUAGGUUGGAUCCAGGGGGCCCGAGUGGACUGGGCAGGGACCACCCCCUGCUUCAAGAUAUUUGGUCGAUGGGCAGUGACGAAGUGGCAUUUUAGGCCAAGCACGUCUUUAGGAAGGCCAACAGUGCUGCAGACUGGAUGACCGCUUAUGCGGCCAAUCACGCCGGUGGCACUCUCUGGAUCCGAAAAGAGGAUUUGCCUAGGGCAUUCCGUGAUAUCUAUUUUCUGAUUUUAUUGGGUAUGUUCGUACUCGUAUAGUUUGACUCACCCGUCUUAGCAAGAAAAAAACAAGAAGAAAAAAAAAUGGCGCAUUGAGAGAUAGUGCACAAUGAACUCGGUCUGUUUGGUGUUGAUCACAUGUAAUAUCUGUGUCAAUGAUUUAGAUAUGUGAGAAUAUAUGGAACAAAAAUCAUAAAGGGCGGUCACCAAAAAGAUAUAUAUAUAGGGCAGGCUUCCUAUUUUGCCAUGUUUUCUUUAGUGAGCAUCUUAAAGAAGAAAUCCAAAAGUCAUGGAUUUCUUCUACUAAUGGAGUUGUUAGUUCCAUAUUUUUUUAAAAAAAAUUGCAGCACGUACUAUAUAGUCGAGCAAUACAAUUAAGCAAAUUAGUUAUUUAGCAAGUCAAUACAUAGAUAAAUCAAUUCACAAAUUCUAAAAUAUGGUGUUUACCAGUACAUAGUAUGCAAUUAGAUGAUACACACUUAGCAUAUUAGUCAUUUAGCAACCCAAUACACACUUUGAAGCAAAUUAAUGUACAGUUUUUAAAAUAUCAUAUUCAUCAAUACACGCUAUAUAACUGGUGAUACACACUCGUUGACUUUCUGAUAUAUACUGCAAGUUUAUCUGAUGCACAUCUAGUAGUGAUACAAUAUACACUUUUAGGUAAAACGAUAUACAGUUUUUAGAAUAUGCUUUUUAUUAGUAUAUACUAUAUGGCCAUAUGAUAGUAUGAUACACAUCAAGCAAUUAAUCAUUUUAUAUUUAUUUUUUUAAAAAAUUACAAGAUUGACGAAUUUCGUUAGUAGGAGGAGCUUUAUUCUUAUUUGACUUAUGAGUUUUUCCUUUAAAAUAUGCGCUAGAGAAAAUAUGACAAAACAUAAGUUCCGCGGCAUAUGAUUUUUGUUCGGAUGUAUGAGACUAAAGCGUGAGCGAUCUGCGUGCACUGACCUUUUUUAGAAGAAUACAAGGUUUUUGGGAAAGCUAAAAAGCUCUACUCGGAGUAUUUGGUGUUUCUCCGGGUUCUCCAGUGAGCAAGGGAUAUGCUUCAUGAGCAAUAUUUAUGUAUGUAAUUUUUUGGAUAGGAUAAUUCCACGCUAAAUUUUAAGCUAUUUUGUACUAUGUUUGCAAGGUUUUGCCUGUUAUCCAUUCAAAGGUGAAUCAUUCACAUUCUCAAUAGAGCACACGAUGCAAAAGCAAUAACAAAUGAUUCCAUCCGAAGGUUUGCACUUUUGAUCAUAUUUUUAAGUAUGUGGAUUAUCUAUGAACUAAAAAUUAUUUCUUUCCUUAAAAAUAUUUGAAAAAUCAUGAGAAAUUUUAGCAUACUAUGUUUUGCUAUAAAAUGUCUCAUUGUGGUUCUCGAACAUUUAGCAUAUAAUGUUAAUGGCUUAAUUAAUAUUUUCAAGGAAUAUAUUAUAUUUAAACACAAUCUGAAUCCGAGUCAAGUUUAACCAAUAUACAUUUAUAAUUAUAUCAUCUAAUAUCUCCCACCUAAUUCUCACCUUCUCAUAGCAGUGUUUUUUUAUUCGAGAUUGCAUCCUUCCCACCAACCGCUGCUCAUCAUUGUAUCUCUCUGGAGCAAGUAACCCAGAAUGAUGCAUGUUGAACUUAAUGACUUUCUCGAAAGAGGAGCAAGACUGAGCAAAGUUUCAAUUGGUGCAUUGGAGUCCAGUUGGUUAAGAUAGUGGGCUCAUAAGAAGAAAAAAAAAUUGCUCCAAGUGGUGCUAAGAAAUGGUACGACUCAAACAAUAAAUGGAGUUAAAUACUUGAAUUCAACCAUUCCCUCAUGCAAGUGGAAAAGACGCAGCGUUUGAGAAAGAAACAUAGCUCAUUCCUUUGCCAAACAUUUAGGAACACUUCCUUAGGCGUCCAUAUUAUGGAUCUCAUUCUCCUUUAUUUUCAAGAAAUUUUAUUUAUUUCCUGUCAACUGCUCUACUCUACAGCAUCAGGCUUCCUUUGUUAAUGAAAUAUCUAAUGAUUUUCUGCGAAGAUAACUUGCGUCCAAAUCUCCCACAGAGAAGCAAGGAAUAUCAGUCAAUACCGACAAUAGAUAUGCUUUCCAAGAUGACAUGGGAACCUCCAACAGAAAAAGAACCAACAACAAAAAAAAUCUAAAACUGCUAAUCAAUUGAAUUUAAUUAAUCCUAUUAAAACCAUGCUCUCCAAUGCAUCAACUCUACGGCAACAUACAUGUCUAAUUCUGUGAAAAUUCGUGCGAGCAUGUAUUAGUCCAAUAUCAGUUAUUCAUUGAGAAAAAUUUGGGUACUUAUGUAGAACUAAAAAAUUUAAAAAAUACUUCCCGCUAAUAUUUUUUUUUGAUGAAGUCCUAUAUUAUGAUAAAUAGUUUAAAGGACCAAAGAACACUGCAGUCUAGUUUAUAGAAAUUGGCUAUGGAUUUAUCGGGAUUUUUGUAAUUUGAUUUAAAUAUAUUUAAAUUUUCAGUCUGACGAGAAGAAUCACGUCCGGAUGUCAUGGUUGCAACAAAAGUCCGUCGGUUACUCAACUUCCGUCGGGGGUCCAACUUGGACUUCGUCGCUCUCUCCGUCCAAAUACUUUUCCACCGUCAAUCAAA